GAUGAACGCUAGCUACAGGCUUAACACAUGCAAGUCGAGGGGCAGCAUAAAUCUAGCAAUAGAUUUGAUGGCGACCGGCGCACGGGUGAGUAACACGUAUCCAACCUACCUAUUACUCGGGUAUAGCCUUUCGAAAGAAAGAUUAAUCCCCGAUACGAUAUUGAGUUCGCAUGAAUUUGAUAUGAAAGAUUUAUUGGUAUUAGAUGGGGAUGCUGUCCAUUAGAUUGUUGGUGAGGUAACGGCUUACCAAGUCUUCGAUGGAUAGGGGUUCUGAGAGGAAGGUCCCCCACACUGGAACUGAGACGCGGACCAGACGCCUACGGGAGGCAGCAGUGAGGAAUAUGGGUCAAUGGGCGAGAGCCUGAACCAGCCAAGUAGCGUGAGGGAUGACUGCCCUAUGGGUUGUAAACCUCUUUUAUAAGGGAAUAAAACGCUCCACGAGUGGAGCUUUGCAUGUACCUUUUGAAUAAGGAUCGGCUAACUCCGUGCCAGCCGCCGCAGUAA
RNAcentral lists this ribosomal RNA (504 nucleotides) under uncultured bacterium. RNAcentral describes it as "partial 16S ribosomal RNA". It matches the Rfam family "Bacterial small subunit ribosomal RNA", at positions 28 to 523 of the family's 1533-position model. The record is from RNAcentral.